AUGUUUGUAAAACACUCAUCAAAACUUACUGAGUUCUUUUAUUUCCAGCAUCAAAAUAUUAUUUUUGUUUAUGUGGCCCCAGGACUGAUGAAACUUGUACUGGUGCAAAAAUACAUCCCAGUCAUAACCAUUAGUCAUGAUUUCAGGAGAGUGGUAUUCGGUUCUCUUGGCCUCUGACUGCAGGGAAAAGAUAGAAGAAGAUGGAAGCAUGAGAGUUUUUGUCGAACACAUUGAUUACCUGGGGGACUCUUCUCUGACUUUUAAAUUGCAUGAAAUGUAAGUACAGCCUUUUUUUAGUUGGGGAAGCAAAAAUGGAAGCCUGGGUAUGGUCUUGAACACACACACAUGCACUGAUCCAGGACUUGAUGGAUCUGGGGCUUUUCCAGAUUCAGAGACAAGAGUCAGUAACAAGAAUAAAUUUAAUUGGAGUGGGGGAAGUGGGAGGUAGAGGGAUAUCAGAAUCAUAAGUAGUAUGACAAUAUAGCAUAGGUUAAGCAAACUGAACUUGGAACUAAUAGCCUGAAUUUGAAUCUUUCAGUUACCAGUUGUGUUACCAAGAAAACAAAUCUCUUUCCACCUCCCUUUCCUCAUGGGUAAAAGGGAAUGAGAAUAAUUCUUCCUCAUGUUUUUUUUUUUUUUCAGUUUUUGUUUUGGGGUGCGUGUGUGUGUGUGUGUGUGUGUGUGUGUACCAAGGCAGAUCAUAUUUGUAAAGCACUUACUUGAGAGGCUGGCAUGUGGUGAACACUCAGCUAAUGAUCUAGACAAGUAGUUGUAGUAAUAGCAACAGUGGAAAGUAGCAAUAGUGAUAGAAGUUGUCAUUUAAGUCAUUCUUAAUAUAUCAAAUCAUGUGAAAUAAUAUACAUAAAAGGUCUUUGAUAAUUGUACAAACAAAUGUUCAAAAGUCGAAUCAGAAACUCAAGUUACUGGUAGAGUAGAAGGUGAGCAAGUCAGCCUCAUCAAUAGCUCUUGGGCAUCAAUUUAUUGUUUUACAGUGAAAAUGGAACAUGUACUGAAAUUAAUUUGGCUUGUAAACCAACAGAAAAGAAUGCCAUAUGUAGCGCUGACUGUAAGUAUUUUUUUAAGUCUUUCUAAAUUGUACUCCCAACUGCAAGGAAUUUACUAAACCCCAGUAUCUUCAGGAUCUUGAUCAAUUUCUGAUCAAUGACUAUUUUGGUAAUAAAAUGGGGGCCAUCUAAUAGCCAAUAACCUGAAUUUGGGAGAACCUUUCAUGUAAAAGCCAGUGCCUGCCACAUAAUACAAUCAGCCUCAGGAAGGUGACUUGGUCAUAUGCACCUCCUGCAACAAAAGUUACUUGGCAGGGCAAAAAAUAUAAAUUGGGGCCGGGCAUGGUAGCUCAUACCUGUAAUCCCAGCACUUUGGGAGGCCAAGGCAGGGGGGAUCACCUGAGGUCAGGAGUUCGAGACCAGCCUGACCAACAUGGCAAAACCCUGUCUCUAUUAAAAAUACAAAAAUUAGCUGGGCAUCAUGGCGCACACCUGUGAUCCCAGCUACUCGGGAGGCUGAGGCAGGAGAACGGCUUGAACCCUGAAGGAGGAGGUUUCAGUGAGCCAAUAUUGCGCCACUGCACUCCAGCCUGGGUAACAAAGCGAGACCUUGUCUUAAAAAAAAAAAAAGUAAAUUGGCAGGACAGCUUCUUAUUCUCUGCCUGGCUUUCUGAUGCCUGAUGGUCAUCGCCACAGCACAUUGUUCAGGAUGUAGCAUCAAGUAAGUAAUGCCAGUGGGGUUUCUAGAGAGGACAGAGACACAUCACUGACAGAGAUGCUGCUGGAGGUGGGUAGGUCUGGCGGGGGGGUGGAUAUUAAAGGCUGAGUUGCUGCUGGGGCUAAAUUUUUUUGACUACUAGUGAUCAACCUACCCUUUUCUCAGAAUUUGCCUCAUGAAGCCCAGGGCGAUGCAAAUGGAAGACAUUCAGCAUCCUCACUAUCUCUAAUGGGAUACGCACUUGAACUUGUGUCAUGGGAAAGAACAGGUAAAGGGUUUCAACUGCUUUCUAUGGAUCAAAGGAGUUCUGAACUGUGUUCUGUU
Macaca mulatta (Rhesus monkey) is the source of this 2046-nucleotide long non-coding RNA. The record is from Ensembl. Lineage: Eukaryota; Metazoa; Chordata; Mammalia; Primates; Cercopithecidae.